GAUGAAGAACGUAGCGAAAUGCGAUAAGUAAUGCGAAUUGCAGAAUUUCUGUGAGUCAUCGAAUCUUUGAACGCACAUUGCGCCCACUGGUAUUCCGGUGGGCAUGCCUGUUCGAGCGUCAUUAUCCUCCCUCAAACCCCGGGUUUGGUGUUGGACCCAAGUUGUGUGAACAACUGGUCUCAAAGACAAUGACGGCGUCCGUGGGACCCUCGGUGCAACGAGCUUUUAGGAGCACGCAUCGAGUUGCAAGGACCUUCCGGGCCGGUCUCCUUUACCAUUUUACAAGGUUGACCUCGGAUCAGGUAGGAAUACCCGCUGAACUUAAGCAUGUCAAUAAGCGGAGGA
Molecule: unclassified non-coding RNA, 345 nt
Filed under: soil metagenome
Description: partial contains 5.8S ribosomal RNA, internal transcribed spacer 2, and large subunit ribosomal RNA
Rfam family: 5.8S ribosomal RNA (bases 1-121)
Source: RNAcentral